This is a long non-coding RNA of Panicum virgatum (switchgrass), 910 nucleotides long. RefSeq lists it as uncharacterized. The transcript is spliced from 2 exons. NCBI's taxonomy places the organism in Eukaryota, Viridiplantae, Streptophyta, Magnoliopsida, Poales, Poaceae. The record is from RefSeq and is a predicted model, not a curated record.
GGGCCACUACAAUCUCAGGACCGGGCCUGGAUUUGAGCAUGAGGGGGAAUAGUCUAUCCAUGGUGAGCGGUGCGGUCGUGCACGGCAGCAGCAGUGAGCGGUGCGAGGCCGGGGCGGCGCUGGUCGGUUAGCUACUCGCGCUCUCCCGUCGUCACGCGCGGAGGUCGAAGCCAUUGGUGCGAGCGCAGCGAGCUCCGCGGCGGAGCAGACCCCGUGGCUCCUCUUUUUCUCCGUCUCUUCUUUUUCUUUUUCCAGAUCUACGCGCCGAUGAACGGCGCGGCGUGGCAGCGGCGAGCCAGCAAGCAGAGUGAUGCCGCGUGAGGCUGGGGCGGCUCUCGUCGACGACGAGCCGCGGGUGCCUUCUGCCGGUGGUGCCCGGGCAAUGGGCUGGAGCGGGUACCUCGCCGGCGGGGCAGCAGACGCAUCCUCAAGGCCGCGACACGACGGAUCCCGGUUGCCGGCGCGGCCUCCUCGACUCCUUGUUUCUAUCGUGCCGUGCGGACUGCGCGUGCACCUCCGCUUCAUCGGUCGUGCUCAGCAUCAGCUUGGGAGAAUGUCUGCUUGCUUUUCAGAGCAUGUUGAAGUAUCACCCUAUACUCUGUGACUGCGCUUCCAGGGAGAAUGCCCUUUUGACCCCUUAUAUAUGCCGGAGGGAUAAGGAUCACCCAGUUCAAUUGACCUUUUUCUUUUUCGAGAAAUGUCUCGGCAAUAAGAAAAAUGUAAAUAUAAAUGCAUUAGCGAUUAGGUUAUCCUAUAAAUGUAGUCUUAAGGUGUAGCAUACAUGACUUCAUGUUUGUGACUACUGACUAGUAUGGCAGUAUGCCAAUGUGAAGAAUAAAUUUGAUAGUGAUUUUUUUUAUGAAAACAGCUUCUCAUGGUGAAAUUAUACAGCGCUUCAAAUUUCCCAGCA